RNAcentral lists this ribosomal RNA (372 nucleotides) under uncultured organism. RNAcentral describes it as "bacterial SSU rRNA". It matches the Rfam family "Bacterial small subunit ribosomal RNA", at positions 526 to 896 of the family's 1533-position model. The record is from RNAcentral.
CGUAGGGUGCGAGCGUUAAUCGGAAUUACUGGGCGUAAAGCGUGCGCAGGCGGUUUUGUAAGACAGGCGUGAAAUCCCCGGGCUCAACCUGGGAACUGCGCUUGUGACUGCACGGCUAGAGUACGGCAGAGGGGGGUGGAAUUCCACGUGUAGCAGUGAAAUGCGUAGAGAUGUGGAGGAACACCAAUGGCGAAGGCAGCCCCCUGGGUCGAUACUGACGCUCAUGCACGAAAGCGUGGGUAGCAAACAGGAUUAGAUACCCUGGUAGUCCACGCCCUAAACGAUGUCAACUAGGUGUUGGGAGGGUAAAACCUUUUAGUACCGGAGCUAACGCGUGAAGUUGACCGCCUGGGGAGUACGGCCGCAAGGUUA